CAGCCGCCGCGGUAAUACGUAGGGUGCAAGCGUUAAUCGGAAUUACUGGGCGUAAAGCGUGCGCAGGCGGUUUGUUAAGACAGAUGUGAAAUCCCCGGGCUCAACCUGGGACCUGCAUUUGUGACUGUAUAGCUAGAGUACGGUAGAGGGGGAUGGAAUUCCGCGUGUAGCAGUGAAAUGCGUAGAUAUGCGGAGGAACACCGAUGGCGAAGGCAAUCCCCUGGACCUGUACUGACGCUCAUGCACGAAAGCGUGGGGAGCAAACAGGAUUAGAUACCCCUGUAGUCCCUGUCUCUUAUAC
This 301-nucleotide ribosomal RNA is filed under the name uncultured bacterium. RNAcentral's name for it is "partial 16S ribosomal RNA". It matches the Rfam family "Bacterial small subunit ribosomal RNA", at positions 509 to 807 of the family's 1533-position model. The record is from RNAcentral.